GGAAUUGUGGCUUAGUGGUAGAGCGCCCACCUAGCGUGUGUGAGGCACUGGGUUUGAUCCUCAGCACCA
RNAcentral lists this transfer RNA (69 nucleotides) under Marmota marmota marmota (Alpine marmot). It matches the Rfam family "tRNA". Rfam says of the family: Transfer RNA (tRNA) molecules are approximately 80 nucleotides in length. Their secondary structure includes four short double-helical elements and three loops (D, anti-codon, and T loops). Lineage: Eukaryota; Metazoa; Chordata; Mammalia; Rodentia; Sciuridae. RNAcentral also lists the same sequence under 1 other name. The record is from Rfam by way of RNAcentral.